Non-coding RNA from Schistosoma curassoni, 45 nucleotides. The record is from Rfam. Lineage: Eukaryota; Metazoa; Platyhelminthes; Trematoda; Strigeidida; Schistosomatidae.
AUCCAAAUGAAGAGUCUCAAAUAAGACAAAAGGUGCGUCCUGAAU